This 258-nucleotide long non-coding RNA is filed under the name Trifolium pratense (red clover). RNAcentral describes it as "long non-coding RNA (TPRA_LNC006484)". Lineage: Eukaryota; Viridiplantae; Streptophyta; Magnoliopsida; Fabales; Fabaceae. The record is from RNAcentral.
UUAAACAUCACUUAAAACUCAUACAUUAUGAUCAAAAUGUAUCUGGUCCAAUUUCUUUAGAGUUUGCAUAUCAUUUAUAUUCUUCUUUUGAGUUCCACAUCUGCAAAAAUUGAAAUGAAUGAUGAGUAUAGAUUAAGAUUAAGAUUAAGAUUAAGAUGAAAAUAAGAUAAAUUGAAAAUAAUACAAAGAAAAUAACUAAAGAGAAAAGAGAUGGAAAAUGUGUGAUUUGAAUGUUCAACCAAAGACCAUUUAUAUAGG